RNAcentral lists this ribosomal RNA (744 nucleotides) under uncultured bacterium. RNAcentral describes it as "bacterial SSU rRNA". It matches the Rfam family "Bacterial small subunit ribosomal RNA", at positions 8 to 796 of the family's 1533-position model. The record is from RNAcentral.
AGAGUUUGAUCAUGGCUCAGAACGAACGCUGGCGGCAGGCUUAACACAUGCAAGUCGAACGCUCGUAGCAAUACGGGAGUGGCAGACGGGUGAGUAACGCGUGGGAACAUACCCUCCGGUUCGGAAUAGCUCAGGGAAACUUGGAUUAAUACCGGAUACGGCCGAGAGGCGAAAGAUUUAUCGCCGGAGGAUUGGCCCGCGUUCGAUUAGCUAGUUGGUGAGGUAACGGCUCACCAAGGCGAUGAUCGAUAGCUGGUCUGAGAGGAUGAUCAGCCACAUUGGGACUGAGACACGGCCCAAACUCCUACGGGAGGCAGCAGUGGGGAAUAUUGGACAAUGGGCGCAAGCCUGAUCCAGCCAUGCCGCGUGAGUGAUGACGGCCUUAGGGUUGUAAAGCUCUUUCGCUCGGGACGAUAAUGACGGUACCGAGAUAAGAAGCCCCGGCUAACUUCGUGCCAGCAGCCGCGGUAAUACGAAGGGGGCUAGCGUUGUUCGGAAUUACUGGGCGUAAAGCGCGUGUAGGCGGGUCUUUAAGUCAGGGGUGAAAUGCCAAGGCUCAACCUUGGAACUGCCUUUGAUACUGGAGAUCUUGAGUCCGAGAGAGGUGAGUGGAAUUGCGAGUGUAGAGGUGAAAUUCGUAGAUAUUCGCAAGAACACCAGUGGCGAAGGCGGCUCACUGGCUCGGAACUGACGCUGAGACGCGAAAGCGUGGGGAGCAAACAGGAUUAGAUACCCUAGUAGUCC